AUUGAACGCUGGCGGCAUGCCUUACACAUGCAAGUCGAACGGCAGCACGGGAGCAAUCCUGGUGGCGAGUGGCGAACGGGUGAGUAAUAUAUCGGAACGUGCCCAGUCGUGGGGGAUAACGUAGCGAAAGCUACGCUAAUACCGCAUGCGAUCUAUGGAUGAAAGCGGGGGAUCGCAAGACCUCGCGCGAUUGGAGCGGCCGAUAUCAGAUUAGGUAGUUGGUGAGGUAAAGGCUCACCAAGCCAACGAUCUGUAGCUGGUCUGAGAGGACGACCAGCCACACUGGAACUGAGACACGGUCCAGACUCCUACGGGAGGCAGCAGUGGGGAAUUUUUGGACAAUGGACGCAAGUCUGAUCCAGCCAUUCCGCGUGCAGGAUGAAGGCCCUCGGGUUGUAAACUGCUUUUGUACGGAACGAAACGGUGAGCUCUAAUACAGUUUGCUAAUGACGGUACCGUAAGAAUAAGCACCGGCUAACUACG
Molecule: ribosomal RNA, 483 nt
Filed under: uncultured bacterium
Lineage: Bacteria
Description: bacterial SSU rRNA
Rfam family: Bacterial small subunit ribosomal RNA
Source: RNAcentral